This 3151-nucleotide unclassified non-coding RNA is filed under the name Limulus polyphemus (Atlantic horseshoe crab). RNAcentral describes it as "beta-1,3-galactosyltransferase 5-like, transcript variant X1". Lineage: Eukaryota; Metazoa; Arthropoda; Merostomata; Xiphosura; Limulidae. The record is from RNAcentral.
CGGCUGUAGAUCGGUGUGUCUGCGGGUAGUGCCAGCUACGGGAAGUUCGCUAGAGGUCGUUUCAUAUUCCGCUGUUUCCAAGCUGCUAAUGUGUUGUCGUCUUCAGGGAAGUCUUGAGAAGAAUUGCUCAUGUAGUGAUAAUAGCUAAGAUUCGAUCCCGGAUCUUCUUGUUAAAAAUACCGAUGCGGUAUAAUAAGUAACUAAUCAAUAACUGUACUCAUGUGAUCGUUACUACGCAUGACAACGACAGUCGUGUAAGCUGAUUGGCUGAUUUCUUUAUAAAGUGGAUGCCGCAGUUGGAUGAGAUGUUUUAUAUUUUGUAUCAUGAUCAAUUCUUUCUCCCCCUUAAAGGACACAGGAGGAAUAGUAAUAGAGUUGUGAAACAUGGGUCUUCCAGAAGCCACAGAUCAUUCAAGAUUUAUUUGGUUGUUCAGAAGCCAUAGGUCAAUCAAGAUUUAUUUGAUUGCUCAGAGGUCACAGAUCAAUCAAGAUUUCGUGAAGUAUAGAGAAUACAUUAAGAAGUGCAUAAGCAUUGCGAUCCAUUUAACAGUGAAAUCUGUAUCCUCCCCCAACUGACACUCGAUACAAAUGUGAAUAUCUGCUAUACUUUCUGUUGUUAACAAGUACUGAUGACUCGUUCACUGACCGAGAUAUUUCCACAUCCUUCACAGCUGAGUCCGAGCAGCAUGAGAUUCAAGCCACAUUGUGACUUGCGGGCUAAAAUUGGAUUCCUCUUUUUGGUUUUCCUAGUGCCCAGUACAGUGGUCAAUUUUAUGUGGUAUGGUAGUAGUCCUAAUGUGAGAAAACCUCGCCCGAUCUCGUGGGGACCAUCAGUUGCCUACAAUAUGAGUUUACUUAAUCAAGAAACAGAUUUCACAACGCUUGUGGAUAAGACAGACUUUCGCUUUCUACUAAACCACCGACGUUGCGAUAAAGAGAAGGACAUAUUUAUGGUCAUAUAUAUUCACAGUGCUCCAGACCAUUUUCAAAAAAGGAGGGCGAUACGAAAAACUUGGGGUCAAGAGCGCCAUCUGGUGUAUGACCCGAUACGUUUAGUGUUUAUGGUUGGAACAGUUCAGAAUAAAGAUGAAAUUCAGAAGGCUUUGGAAAAAGAAGACUUCAUUAAUCGUGACAUUGUACAGGGCAAUUUCAUUGAUUCUUACAAAAACCUCACAUACAAACACGUCAUGGGACUCAAGUGGGUGACAUAUUUCUGUCGCCAAGCUAAAUAUAUUUUCAAAACUGACGACGACAUAUUUGUCGAUAUUUUUCAGUUAGUGACGUAUUUGAGAGUGUCCUCCUUAGGCAGGAUGCCCCCACGUGGCCUUAUCAUGUGCUUUCUUAUCAGGAAUCUUUACGUAAAGCGUAGCCAACGUAGCAAAUGGAAAGUUAGCUUCAAAGAGUACCCUGCCAAGUAUUACCCCCCUUACUGCGCAGGCUGGGUCAUUAUCAUGUCUCCUGAUGUCGUUUUCAACCUUUACCUCCAGUCGACCCAAGCAGCCUACUUUUGGGUAGAUGAUGUCCAUGUAUCCGGAACACUUGCUCAAAGGGUCGGAGUGAGCCACGUGGACUUUACAGACAAGCUGUCAGUAUCAAAGGAAGAAGUUCUCUAUUGGCUCCAAAACCCUGAGUUAAGUCGGCCAUAUUUGUUCGGGUACCCAAACGCAGACGUCGACACUAUCUAUGCUUUGUGGAACAAAACUUUAUGUUACUACGAAAGUUUAGGAAUUCCCAGACGAUGAAUUUCCAGAACAUUCUGGGUGUCGAUUGAAUUUUUUUCCCUGUUCGUGACCACCGCGAGUUUUUACGUUCGUCCAAGUUGCAAACUGCUCUACAACUUUCGGGCUGUCCCUGGUAAAACCGAAAAGACAAUCUGUGACACAGAAGCCUAAUAUAUUCCCUGAUUGGCCGUACCCUCUGCUGUGGACUGUAGUUUCAUUUAUCCAAGGUUCAUCAGCACAGCUUGGGCCAGCAAACCAAAUAAAUGCAGUUAGGCCCUUUAUAAUGGUGAAGUGUAUAUAUGUUUUAUGGUGUUUUUGAGGCCGUUUUGUAAGAUGAAUUAAAAAAGACCCCACACAUUUUAUUUAAGUAAGAUAUAGGACUCUGAACAGAUUUAUUGAUUUCACAUCUACAGAAGCAAAAGUCACGUCUAUUUAACACUAUAAAGUUAUGAGUUAGUGGACGAUGUGUAUGUUUUUAAUGGAAUUAAGGAUGCAAUUUAAUUUCUAUGAUCAAUGGGUAAAUUUUAAUCAACGAUUGAUAUAAACGCUCACAAGUCUUGUUAGAACAUCUGUGACUGUAGAAUUGGAGAUGAUUAUUAAGUUACCAGUGGUGUUUUAAAUUCAUGUAAUUGCUUUGUAAAGCUACGUCUGUAUUUGCGUUUGGUAUUAUCCAGACACACCCGUUUACCCGUCACUUAUUUUCCAAUUCCUUUAUAAGUAUUUUAGUGAAAAUUGUGGCAUUUUUAGAGUAAUCUAAGUACAAUAGGUGUGAUACUUGAUGUGAAGCUUAAAACCCUGUUUGUUGAUACUCAUCUGGAUGAAGAGUUACUUAAGAUUUUCAACAACUUUUCUUCUGAACAUAGAGCGAACAUACAUGUUAGGGAUGUUUGUGACAUACAAUAAAGGUAAAAAAAUGAAUGUCUAGCCCUUGUGGCCCACUGUCGAUUGUAUUCUAGGUAAUGGCCCUGAAUACGAGGCUUUAGCGCAAUACAUCGACUCAUUGUUGUCAAUAUUUGUCAAUCAUGUACGAACACGAUUUCAAUGAUCAAUUUGAGCAAUCCGUAAGCAUGGAACUCCAUGAGAGAUGCUGCAAAUGAAAUAGCACAAAUUCCUUGUAUCUUGUGGGGGAGAUUGAGAUGGACAUGUGAAUGAAUGAUUUGUCAAGAUGGAGCCAUAUCUUAUUGGUAUCUUGCGGAGGAACUGUCAGAUUGAGAUGGACAUGUGAAUGAAUGGUUUGUCAAUAUGGAACCAUAUCUUAUUGGCAUCUUGUGGAGGAACUGUCAGGUUGAGAUGGACAUGAGAAUGACUGGUUUGUCAAGAUGGAACCAUAUCUUAUUGGCAUCUUGCGUAGGAACUGUCAGGUUGAGAUGGACAUGAGAAUGAAUGGUUUGUCAAGAUGGAACUGUAUCUUAUAUAUUAUUUAUUCGCAU